RNAcentral lists this non-coding RNA (148 nucleotides) under Chlorocebus sabaeus (green monkey). Lineage: Eukaryota; Metazoa; Chordata; Mammalia; Primates; Cercopithecidae. The record is from Rfam by way of RNAcentral.
GCCGGGCGUAGUGGUGUGUGCCUGUAGUCCCAGAUACUCGGGAGGCUAAGGCAGGAGAAUCACUUGAACCCAGGAGGCAGAGGUUGCAGUGAGCUGAGAUCAUGCCACUGCACUCCAGCCUGGGUGACACAGUGAGAUUCUGUCUCAA